UCUCCUGGAAACGGGUGGUAAUGCCGGAUGCUCCAGUCCAUCGCAUGGUGGUCUGGGAAAGAUUCUAUCGGUAUGGGAUGGGGUCGCGUCCUAUCAGCUUGAUGGCGGGGUAACGGCCCACCAUGGCCUCGACGGGUAGCCGGCCUGAGAGGGCGACCGGCCACAUUGGGACUGAGAUACGGCCCAGACUCCUACGGGAGGCAGCAGUGGGGAAUAUUGCACAAUGGGCGCAAGCCUGAUGCAGCGACGCCGCGUGCGGGAUGGAGGCCUUCGGGUUGUAAACCGCUUUUGAUCGGGAGCAAGCUCUUCGGGGUGAGUGUACCCUUCGAAUAAGCACCGGCUAACUACGUGCCAGCAGCCGCGGUAAUACGUAGGGUGCAAGCGUUAUCCGGAAUUAUUGGGCGUAAAGGGCUCGUAGGCGGUUCGUCGCGUCCGGUGUGAAAGCCCAUCGCUUAACGGUGGGUCUGCGCCGGGUACGGGCGGGCUGGAGUGCGGUAGGGGAGACUGGAAUUCCCGGUGUAACGGUGGAAUGUGUAGAUAUC
Molecule: ribosomal RNA, 542 nt
Filed under: Bifidobacterium dentium
Lineage: Bacteria; Bacillati; Actinomycetota; Actinomycetes; Bifidobacteriales; Bifidobacteriaceae
Description: bacterial SSU rRNA
Rfam family: Bacterial small subunit ribosomal RNA
Source: RNAcentral